CACGUAGGCGGCCCUAUAAGUCAGAUGUGAAAGCCCGGGGCUUAACCCCGGAAGUGCAUUUGAAACUAAUGGGGCUUGAGUAUGGGAGAGGGAAGUGGAAUUCCUGGUGUAGAGGUGAAAUUCGUAGAAUAUCAGGAAGGAACACCGGUGGCGAAGGCGACUUCCUGGACCAAUACUGACGCUGAGGUGCGAAGGCGGUGGGGAGCAAACA
Molecule: ribosomal RNA, 211 nt
Filed under: uncultured bacterium
Lineage: Bacteria
Description: partial 16S ribosomal RNA
Rfam family: Bacterial small subunit ribosomal RNA
Source: RNAcentral